AGGUGGUGCAUGGCCGUCGUCAGUUCGUACUGUGAAGCAUCCUGUUAAGUCAGGCAACGAGCGAGACCCACGCCCACAGUUGCCAGCGUACUCUCCGGAGUGACGGGUACACUGUGGGGACCGCCGCUGCUAAAGCGGAGGAAGGAAUGGGCAACGGUAGGUCAGUAUGCCCUGAAUAUCCCGGGCUACACGCGAGCUACAAUGGUUGGUACAAUGGGUAUCUACCCGAAAGGGGACGGGAAUCUCCUAAAACCAAUCUUAGUUCGGAUUGAGGGCUGCAACUCGCCCUCACGAAGCUGGAAUCCGUAGUAAUCGCGUUUCAACAGAACGCGGUGAAUACGUCCCUGCUCCUU
RNAcentral lists this ribosomal RNA (353 nucleotides) under uncultured Methanosaeta sp. Its description in RNAcentral is "bacterial SSU rRNA". It matches the Rfam family "Archaeal small subunit ribosomal RNA", at positions 985 to 1338 of the family's 1478-position model. Lineage: Archaea; Methanobacteriati; Methanobacteriota; Methanomicrobia; Methanotrichales; Methanotrichaceae. The record is from RNAcentral.